ACGGUUUUCUCGUACUCUAUAUUAUUGUUAUACGUAAGAAAGAAGCCCUUCAAACCGAUGAGAAGGGAAAGAUAGAGGGAGAGGGUGGCCAUGGAUGCGGUGACCACCAUUCGGUCCGCGGUAGCCACCACUCCGCAUCGCAGAGACUGCGAGGGAGCGGUAGUCCAGGGCGAAGAAGUCCCGGAGACAAUCGAGGCAGAGGCAGCGACCUAGAUAUGGGGGUCGGAGGGCCAGAGGAAGAAGACGGCGGAGACGAUGAGGAUGGAGGAGAUGAAGAAGGAAGAGGCAGAGAGGAAGGAG
RNAcentral lists this long non-coding RNA (300 nucleotides) under Elaeis guineensis (African oil palm). RNAcentral describes it as "long non-coding RNA (EGUI_LNC025423)". Lineage: Eukaryota; Viridiplantae; Streptophyta; Magnoliopsida; Arecales; Arecaceae. The record is from RNAcentral.